RNAcentral lists this unclassified non-coding RNA (300 nucleotides) under uncultured Helotiaceae. Its description in RNAcentral is "sequence contains 5.8S rRNA gene, ITS2". The stretch from base 1 to 90 matches the Rfam family "5.8S ribosomal RNA", at positions 61 to 154 of the family's 154-position model. The record is from RNAcentral. Lineage: Eukaryota; Fungi; Ascomycota; Leotiomycetes; Helotiales; Helotiaceae.
AGCAGUGUAUAAGAGACAGGUGAGUCAUCGAAUCUUUGAACGCACAUUGCGCCCCUUGGUAUUCCGGGGGGCAUGCCUGUUCGAGCGUCAUUUCAACCCUCAAGCUCUGCUUGGUCUUGGGCACUGCCGGUAACGGCUUGCCUUAAAACUAGUGGCGGUGCCAUUCGAGCUCUACGCGUAGUAAUUAAACCCUCGCGAUUGAGUCUUGGUGGAUGCUUGCCAGCAACCCUCAUUUUUUUAUGGUUGACCUCGGAUCAGGUAGGGAUACCCGCUGAACUUAAGCAUAUCAAUAAGCGGAGG